GACGAACGCUGGCGGCGUGCUUAACACAUGCAAGUCGAACGAUGAAGCCCUUUCGGGGGUGGAUUAGUGGCGAACGGGUGAGUAACACGUGGGUAACCUGCCCUGUACCCUGGGAUAAGCCUUGGAAACGAGGUCUAAUACCGGAUAUGACCUGCUCUCGCAUGGGGGUGGGUGGAAAGUUUUGGCGGUGCAGGAUGGACCCGCGGCCUAUCAGCUUGUUGGUGGGGUGAUGGCCUACCAAGGCGACGACGGGUAGCCGGCCUGAGAGGGCGACCGGCCACACUGGGACUGAGACACGGCCCAGACUCCUACGGGAGGCAGCAGUGGGGAAUAUUGCACAAUGGGCGAAAGCCUGAUGCAGCGACGCCGNGUGA
Molecule: ribosomal RNA, 374 nt
Filed under: uncultured bacterium
Lineage: Bacteria
Description: bacterial SSU rRNA
Rfam family: Bacterial small subunit ribosomal RNA
Source: RNAcentral